Brienomyrus brachyistius is the source of this 607-nucleotide long non-coding RNA. RefSeq lists it as uncharacterized. NCBI's taxonomy places the organism in Eukaryota, Metazoa, Chordata, Actinopteri, Osteoglossiformes, Mormyridae. The record is from RefSeq and is a predicted model, not a curated record. The transcript is spliced from 3 exons.
UGUAGAGAUACAUCAGCACACUGUCCCCCAUGCUCAGCUACAUUUAUUAGCCUUAGUACUCCAGGCUGAAAGAACAAUUCUGAGGCGGUAAGCUUGACAGGAAAGAAAUUCAUAGUAAAUAUUAAUAACAUCACUGAAUCUCUAAUUAUGCAGAUCAAUUACUUGUAGCUUGCUUAGUCUUCUUCUAGGGUGAGUUUCUUCUGUGGAAUGGAUAGUCUGACAAAAUGAAACUUGUGACAGAUCAUCUGUCAGGAGACUGAGGAGUGAAGAGAUUAUUUCUUCAGCCAGGCCAUGUGAGCAUCUCACGCUGGGAUGAGACCUGGGUUCAGCAAUCAGAGUGUCCAGCUGGAGAAGCUCAGCAGGCUCUACGUCCUGAGGCAGCGAAGUAUCUCAGCCAUGGCAUGGGGAUUAACUUCCUGAGCUGGACCUAAGAGACGAAACGACCCAUGAGGAAUGAAGACAGCAGGCUUCACCAUGUAGGACACACUCAGCGACUGUGGACGUGCCAAGAAGCAAAGGAGCAGGUACCGGGGAGGCAGAAGGGGAUGACAGCCUCUGCCAUCGCCCCCACUCUCUCUGAGGCACAACGCAAUGCACCCCUCCCCCC